This 414-nucleotide ribosomal RNA is filed under the name uncultured microorganism. RNAcentral's name for it is "bacterial SSU rRNA". It matches the Rfam family "Archaeal small subunit ribosomal RNA", at positions 459 to 872 of the family's 1478-position model. The record is from RNAcentral.
CAGCAGCCGCGGUAAUACCGGCGGCCCGAGUGGCGGUCACUAUUAUUGGGCUUAAAGCGUCCGUAGCCGGGUUGGGAAGUCCUCCGGGAAAUCUGGCCGCUUAACGGUCAGAAUGCCGGAGGAUACUCCCAGCCUAGGGAGCGGGGGAGGCCGAGGGUAUUCCCGGAGGAGGGGGGAAAUCCUAUAAUCCCGGGAGGACCACCUGUGGCGAAGGCGCUCGGCUGGAACGCGUCCGACGGUGAGGGACGAAGGCCAGGGGAGCAAACCGGAUUAGAUACCCGGGUAGUCCUGGCUGUAAACGAUGCGGACUUUGUGUCGGACAAGCUAUGAGCUUGUCCGGUGCCGGAGGGAAACCGUUAAGUCCGCCGCCUGGGGAGUACGGCCGCAAGGCUGAAACUUAAAGGAAUUGGCGGG